Molecule: long non-coding RNA, 2155 nt
Filed under: Gadus morhua (Atlantic cod)
Lineage: Eukaryota; Metazoa; Chordata; Actinopteri; Gadiformes; Gadidae
Description: lncRNA (ENSGMOG00000030472.1)
Source: RNAcentral
GUUCUUGAAUUUUAAUUUUGCUCGGACCCCGUUAAUCACCGCUUGCGUUUAUAUUUGUUAUUAUUUUUGUUAAAUGUUAGUUUCACCUUGUUACUAAUUAAUUGACUAAAGUGUGUUUGUACAGUGCUACCUUAUAUAUAGUAAAAUGACAAAGGACUUAAUGCAGUGGUGUAACAGUAUGGAUGAACUGUAUGUUUGAAAACAGCCUGCAGGUCUAGAGACAUCCAUCCCUCCAGCUCCCUCCAGUGAAACACAGCCUGCAGGUCUAGAGACAUCCAUCCCUCCAGCUCCCUCCAGUGAAACACAGCCUGCAGGUCUAGAGACAUCCAUCCCUCCAGCUCCCUCCAGUGAAACACAGCCUGCAGGUCUAGAGACAUCCAUCCCUCCAGCUCCCUCCAGUGAAACACAGCCUGCAGGUCUAGAGACAUCCAUCCCUCCAGCUCCCUCCAGUGAAACACAGCCUGCAGGUCUAGAGACAUCCAUCCCUCCAGCUCCCUCCAGUGAAACACAGCCUGCAGGUCUAGAGACAUCCAUCCCUCCAGCUCCCUCCAGUGAAACACAGCCUGCAGGUCUAGAGACAUCCAUCCCUCCAGCUCCCUCCAGUGAAACACAGCCUGCUGAAGAAACUACACCACUAAUGUCCAGUGAAUCUCCUGCACCCACCGGGGACCAACAAGAACACACUUCAAGAACAACUACCCCUGAUGUAACUAUGGAUGGUCAUGAUGAUGACCAGAGUCUGGAUGCCCUCGCCUACCGGUCUGGUACUGGACAGCUAGACAUUGAGAUGGGUCCAGUCCAAACACUGCCCAAAGAUCGUAACAGGAUUCUUUAAUAUCGCUGUUCGACCCAAGUUUCCCAUCGACCGUGAUUCACUAUUGAAGGGGAAUGACAUUACAGGAUACAAAGUAAUGCAGUUCGAGAAAUUUUGGAUCAACAUGAAAGUGAAUCUGAUGGUUCAAACUCAGAAACUAGGGGAGGAAAUACACCAGUCUGAUUCCUUCCUGAUGCCAGCUUUCACAGGAGAAGAGGCGUGGUGUGUUUAACAUCAUUAUUUGAUCAAUCCUCACAUUAUUCUUCUAUAUGUGGCUCACAGAGCAAAGAGAAGCGAGGUGUUAAUAAAUAGUGUGAGGUGUGCUCUGUGAGGCGUCCUGGGGUAUGAUGGGUAACCUUGGCUUGGGUCCAAGCUCCACCUCUCUUGGGCGACCACCAAGGAAGACGAUAUUUUCUUUAUGAUAUAUUUUUUUGCAACGUUACUAACGUUCCUCAAUAUUUUGCAAACGAUGACACGUACAUAUUUCACCCAUGCAAGUAUCUUUUCUUGUUGUUUUUCUGCUAAACUUUUAGUAACCACUAAUCACUUUUUUGAAGGCUUUUGACCGUAAUCAUUUAGGGAAUAAAAUUUAAAAUAACAGAUGCAAAACCUUUAAUGAAAAUAUUUGCCAAUUUACUGCACUGUAUUUCAAUGAUGAUUUCUUAUUUACAUUUAAUUUUUUUUUUUUUUUUUUAAGUAAUUCCUGUACUUCUUUUUUACUACUUGCCUUGAGUUGUUCAGGAAGCAUUUGGGGUGCUGGGAUUAGCAUUACAUGGCCUUCUUUCAUGUGUCAGUCAAACAUUGUUAGUUACAUACUAUUGUUUGUGAUGAAGUGGAGUUAGAGAGGGCUGGUUGUUGGGGUAUGCUUUUAUGAGAGCACACUAAUAAAGGGUUGAACAUUGCGUCUUAGUUUGUGGUCUGUUUGUGACAAGGGACCGGGAGACUCCACCUCAUAAAGUCCGGUCUCACAGGAAGAUUGCAAAAACACAAAAAGGGCACAAGGACGCUGUAGACUGAGACAGGGAAACAAUCCAAACAAAGGAAGAAAAGACAGGUCACCUUCUGAAGAGAAGUCAGGGAGCAGGCAGAGGACAGAAACCCAGGCAAAGGCCAAAAACAGGCAGGAACCAGACAGGCAGGAACCAGGCAGGCUGGAACCAGGCCGGCAGGAGCCAGGCAGGCAGACUACGGGGCCUUUUGACCUGACUAGGUAAGCCAAGACCAAACGUAAGAUCAAUCUAACAAGGUGGCACUGACAGCCCAGGAUAUACAUAGGCUGAGUAGUUAACACACAAUGAGGAACAGGUGAGAAGGAAACAGGGCGGGAAACUAACACCGGCA